This 432-nucleotide ribosomal RNA is filed under the name uncultured bacterium. RNAcentral describes it as "partial 16S ribosomal RNA". It matches the Rfam family "Bacterial small subunit ribosomal RNA", at positions 29 to 507 of the family's 1533-position model. The record is from RNAcentral.
AACGAACGCUGGCGGCAGGCCUAACACAUGCAAGUCGAGCGAGGACUUCGGUUCUAGCGGCGGACGGGUGAGUAACGCGUGGGAAUGUGCCCUUCUCUACGGAAUAGCCCUGGGAAACUGGGAGUAAUACCGUAUACGCCCUUUUGGGGAAAGAUUUAUCGGAGAAGGAUCAGCCCGCGUUGGAUAGGUAGUUGGUGGGGUAAUGGCCUACCAAGCCGACGAUCCAUAGCUGGUUUGAGAGGAUGAUCAGCCACACUGGGACUGAGACACGGCCCAGACUCCUACGGGAGGCAGCAGUGGGGAAUCUUAGACAAUGGGGGCAACCCUGAUCUAGCCAUGCCGCGUGAGUGAUGAAGGCCUUAGGGUUGUAAAGCUCUUUCAGCUGGGAAGAUAAUGACGGUACCAGCAGAAGAAGCCCCGGCUAACUCCGUG